GUUUGAUCCUGGCUCAGGACGAACGCUGGCGGCGUGCCUAAUACAUGCAAGUAGAACGCUGAAGAGAGGAGCUUGCUCUCCUUGGAUGAGUUGCGAACGGGUGAGUAACGCGUAGGUAACCUGCCUUGUAGCGGGGGAUAACUAUUGGAAACGAUAGCUAAUACCGCAUAACAAUGGAUGACACAUGUCAUUUAUUUGAAAGGGGCAAUUGUUCCACUACAAGAUGGACCUGCGUUGUAUUAGCUAGUAGGUGAGGUAAUGGCUCACCUAGGCGACGAUACAUAGCCGACCUGAGAGGGUGAUCGGCCACACUGGGACUGAGACACGGCCCAGACUCCUACGGGAGGCAGCAGUAGGGAAUCUUCGGCAAUGGGGGCAACCCUGACCGAGCAACGCCGCGUGAGUGAAGAAGGUUUUCGGAUCGUAAAGCUCUGUUGUAGGUCAAGAACGGGUGUGAGAGUGGAAAGUUCACACUGUGACGGUAGCUUACCAGAAAGGGACGGCUAACUACGUGCCAGCAGCCGCGGUAAUACGUAGGUCCCGAGCGUUGUCCGGAUUUAUUGGGCGUAAAGCGAGCGCAGGCGGUUUGAUAAGUCUGAAGUUAAAGGCUGUAGCUCAACCAUAGUUCGCUUUGGAAACUGUCAAACUUGAGUGCAGAAGGGGAGAGUGGAAUUCCAUGUGUAGCGGUGAAAUGCGUAGAUAUAUGGAGGAACACCGGUGGCGAAAGCGGCUCUCUGGCCUGUAACUGACACUGAGGCUCGAAAGCGUGGGGAGCAAACAGGAUUAGAUACCCUGGUAGUCCACGCCGUAAACGAUGAGUGCUAGAUGUAGGGAGCUAUAAGUUCUCUGUAUCGCAGUAACGCAAUAAGCACUCCGCCUGGGGAGUACGACCGCAAGGUUGAAACUCAAAGGAAUUGACGGGGGCCCGCACAAGCGGUGGAGCAUGUGGUUUAAUUCGAAGCAACGCGAAGAACCUUACCAGGUCUUGACAUCCCGAUGCUAUUUCUAGAGAUAGAAAGUUACUUCGGUACAUCGGUGACAGGUGGUGCAUGGUUGUCGUCAGCUCGUGUCGUGAGAUGUUGGGUUAAGUCCCGCAACGGGCGCAACCCCUAUUGUUAGUUGCCAUCAUUCAGUUGGGCACUCUAGCGAGACUGCCGGUAAUAAACCGGAGGAAGGUGGGGAUGACGUCAAAUCAUCAUGCCCCUUAUGACCUGGGCUACACACGUGCUACAAUGGUUGGUACAACGAGUUGCGAGUCGGUGACGGCGAGCUAAUCUCUUAAAGCCAAUCUCAGUUCGGAUUGUAGGCUGCAACUCGCCUACAUGAAGUCGGAAUCGCUAGUAAUCGCGGAUCAGCACGCCGCGGUGAAUACGUUCCCGGGCCUUGUACACACCGCCCGUCACACCACGAGAGUUUGUAACACCCGAAGUCGGAGGUAACCUUUUGGAGCCAGCCGCCUAAGGUGGGACAGAUGAUUGGGGCGAAGUCGUAACAAGGUA
Molecule: ribosomal RNA, 1499 nt
Filed under: uncultured Streptococcus sp.
Lineage: Bacteria; Bacillati; Bacillota; Bacilli; Lactobacillales; Streptococcaceae
Description: bacterial SSU rRNA
Rfam family: Bacterial small subunit ribosomal RNA
Source: RNAcentral